AGUGAACGCUGGCGGUAGGCCUAACACAUGCAAGUCGAACGGCAGCACAGUAAGAGCUUGCUCUUACGGGUGGCGAGUGGCGGACGGUUGAGGAAUACAUCGGAAUCUACUUUUUCGUGGGGGAUAACGUAGGGAAACUUACGCUAAUACCGCAUACGACCUACGGGUGAAAGCAGGGGAUCUUCGGACCUUGCGCGAUUGAAUGAGCCGAUGUCGGAUUAGCUAGUUGGCGGGGUAAAGGCCCACCAAGGCGACGAUCCGUAGCUGGUCUGAGAGGAUGAUCAGCCACACUGGAACUGAGACACGGUCCAGACUCCUACGGGAGGCAGCAGUGGGGAAUAUUGGACAAUGGGCGAAAGCCUGAUCCAGCCAUACCGCGUGGGUGAAGAAGGCCUUCGGGUUGUAAAGCCCUUUUGUUGGGAAAGAAAAGCAGCAGGUUAAUACCCCGCUGUUCUGACGGUACCCAAAGAAUAAGCACCGGCUAACUUCGUG
Molecule: ribosomal RNA, 492 nt
Filed under: uncultured bacterium
Lineage: Bacteria
Description: partial 16S ribosomal RNA
Rfam family: Bacterial small subunit ribosomal RNA
Source: RNAcentral